This 254-nucleotide ribosomal RNA is filed under the name uncultured bacterium. RNAcentral describes it as "partial 16S ribosomal RNA". It matches the Rfam family "Bacterial small subunit ribosomal RNA", at positions 524 to 776 of the family's 1533-position model. The record is from RNAcentral.
UACGUAGGGUGCAAGCGUUUAAUCGGAAUUACUGGGCGUAAAGCGUGCGCAGGCGGUUGUGCAAGACAGAUGUGAAAUCCCCGGGCUCAACCUGGGAAUUGCAUUUGUGACUGUACGGCUAGAGUGUGUCAGAGGGGGGUAGAAUUCCACGUGUAGCAGUGAAAUGCGUAGAGAUGUGGAGGAAUACCGAUGGCGAAGGCAGCCCCCUGGGAUAACACUGACGCUCAUGCACGAAAGCGUGGGGAGCAAACAGG